This 448-nucleotide ribosomal RNA is filed under the name uncultured bacterium. RNAcentral describes it as "bacterial SSU rRNA". It matches the Rfam family "Bacterial small subunit ribosomal RNA", at positions 29 to 524 of the family's 1533-position model. The record is from RNAcentral.
AACGAACGCUGGCGGCAGGCCUAACACAUGCAAGUCGAGCGCCCAGCAAUGGGAGCGGCAGACGGGUGAGUAACACGUGGGAACCUUCCCUAUAGUACGGAAUAGCCCAGGGAAACUUGGAGUAAUACCGCAUACGCCCGAGAGGGGAAAGAUUUAUCGCUAUAGGAUGGGCCCGCGUAGGAUUAGCUAGUUGGUGAGGUAAUGGCUCACCAAGGCGACGAUCCUUAGCUGGUCUGAGAGGACGACCAGCCACACUGGGACUGAGACACGGCCCAGACUCCUACGGGAGGCAGCAGUGGGGAAUAUUGGACAAUGGGCGCAAGCCUGAUCCAGCCAUGCCGCGUGAGUGAUGAAGGCCUUAGGGUUGUAAAGCUCUUUUGCCGGGGACGAUAAUGGCGGUACCCGGAGAAUAAGUCCCGGCUAACUUCGUGCCAGCAGCCGCGGUAAU